AGGACGAACGCUGGCGGCGUGCUUAACACAUGCAAGUCGAGCGGAAAGGCCUUUCGGGGUACUCGAGCGGCGAACGGGUGAGUAACACGUGAGUAAUCUGCCCAUCGCUUCAGGAUAGCCAUCGGAAACGGUGAUUAAUACUGGAUAUGACAUUCCUUCGCUAUGUUGGGGUGUGGUAAAGUUUUUUCGGCGGUGGAUGUGCUCGCGGACCUAUCAGCUUGUUGGUGGGGUAAUCGGCCUACCGAAGGUCUUUGGACGGGUAGCCGGCCUGAGAGGGU
Molecule: ribosomal RNA, 278 nt
Filed under: uncultured soil bacterium
Lineage: Bacteria
Description: partial 16S ribosomal RNA
Rfam family: Bacterial small subunit ribosomal RNA
Source: RNAcentral